UACGUAGGCAGCAAGCGUUGUUCGGAGUUACUGGGCGUAAAGAGUGCGUAGGCGGUUUUCUAAGUUUGGUGUGAAAUCUCCCGGCUCAACUGGGAGGGUGCGCCGAAAACUGGAAGGCUUGAGUGUGGGAGAGGUAAGCGGAAUUCCUGGUGUAGCGGUGAAAUGCGUAGAUAUCAGGAGGAACACCUGCGGUGUAGACGGCUUACUGGACCACGACUGACGCUGAGGCACGAAAGCGUGGGUAGCAAACAGG
This 253-nucleotide ribosomal RNA is filed under the name uncultured bacterium. RNAcentral describes it as "partial 16S ribosomal RNA". It matches the Rfam family "Bacterial small subunit ribosomal RNA", at positions 524 to 776 of the family's 1533-position model. The record is from RNAcentral.